This 232-nucleotide ribosomal RNA is filed under the name uncultured bacterium. Its description in RNAcentral is "partial 16S ribosomal RNA". It matches the Rfam family "Bacterial small subunit ribosomal RNA", at positions 99 to 334 of the family's 1533-position model. The record is from RNAcentral.
CGCACGGGUGAGUAACGCGUGGAUAUCUGCCUAUUAGUGGGGGACAACUUCGGGAAACCGAAGCUAAUACCGCAUAAUCUCUACGGAGGAAAGCAGGGGACCUUCGGGCCUUGUGCUGAUAGAUGAGUCCGCGUCUGAUUAGUUAGUUGGUGGGGUAAAGGCCUACCAAGACGAUGAUCAGUAUCUGGUUUGAGAGGAUGAUCAGACACACUGGAACUGAGACACGGUCCAG